Molecule: ribosomal RNA, 2816 nt
Filed under: Ruminococcus sp. HUN007
Lineage: Bacteria; Bacillati; Bacillota; Clostridia; Eubacteriales; Oscillospiraceae
Description: bacterial LSU rRNA
Rfam family: Bacterial large subunit ribosomal RNA
Source: RNAcentral
AUAAGAGCGUAUGGAGAAUGCCUUGGCAUUGGGAGCCGAUGAAGGACGUGGUCAGCUGCGAUAAGCUGCGCGGAGCUGUAAGCAAGCAUUGAUGCGCAGAUUUCCGAAUGGAGCAAUCCGCAUGAUUAACAGUCAUGCAUCAUACAGUGAAUCAAUAGCUGUAUGAGGGGAACCCCCUGAACUGAAACAUCUAAGUAGGGGGAGGAAGAGAAAUCAAACGAGAUUUUGUGAGUAGUGGCGAGCGAAAGCGAAAGAGGCCAAACCGGGAACAGCAAUGCUCCCGGGGUUGAGGACUGCAUUUAGCAUUUUAAGUUUUAGCUGAAGUGCAUGGGAAGGCACACCAGAGAAUGUGACAGUCAUGUAAGCGAAAAGACGAGAAAGCGAGCAGGAUCCAGAGUACCGCCGGACACGUGAAAUCCGGUGGGAAGCCGGGGGGACCACCCUCCAAGCCUGAAUACUACCCAAUGACCGAUAGCGAAGAGUACUGUGAAGGAAAGGUGAAAAGAACCCCGGGAGGGGAGUGAAAAAGAACCUGAAACCAUAUGCUUACAAGCACAUAGAGCACGUCAAGGUGUGAUAUGGUACCUAUUGUAGAAUGGUCCGGCGAGUUAUCUUACUCAGCAAGGUUAAGUACUUAAGGUACGGAGCCGAAGCGAGAGCGAGUCUUAACAGGGCGUUAAGUUGAGUGAGAUAGACCCGAAACCGAGUGACCUAGCCAUGUCCAGGCUGAAGUGGAGGUAAAGCUCCAUGGAGGGCCGAACCGACCCCCGUUGAAAAGGUGGCGGAUGAGGUGUGGCUAGCGGAGAAAUUCCAAUCGAACUCGGAUAUAGCUGGUUCUCCUCGAAAUAGCUUUAGGGCUAGCGUUGUGAAUGAUUACCGGAGGUAAAGCACUGAAUGGGCUAGGGGUCGAGAGAUUACUGAACCCUAUCAAACUAAGAAUGCCGGAUAAUAAGAUCACAGCAGUCAGACCGUGUGAGAUAAGUCUCACGGUCAAAAGGGAAAGAGCCCAGACCCACAGCUAAGGUCCCCAAACAGGUUUAAGUGGAAAAGGAUGUGGGGUUGCCCAGACAACCAGGAUGUUGGCUUAGAAGCAGCCACUCAUUAAAAGAGUGCGUAAUAGCUCACUGGUCGAGUGACCCUGCGCCGAAAAUUCAACGGGGCUAAAAUCUGUACCGAAGCUUGGGAUUGAUACGCAAGUAUCAGUGGUAGAGGAGCGUCGUAUCGAGGGUGAAGUCAUAGCGGAAGCGAUGGUGGACGAGAUACGAGUGAGAAUGCCGGAAUGAGUAGCGAGAAUUAUGUGAGAAUCAUAAUGGCCGAAAGUCUAAGGUUUUUAGGAGGAAGGUUCGUCCGCUCCUAGUAAGGCCGGGAGCUAAGGUGAGGCGGAAACGCGUAGCCGAUGCACAUACGGUGGAAAUUCCGUAGCCUCCGAAGUAUUUAAGCAUGAGGACACUUUUGAAGCGAAUAGCCGGGCGCUGGUUGCCCCGGUCGUAAGGGACUGCAAUAGCGGGAAGUAUUAGUGGAAAGAGGCGAGAAAAGUCAUGUGAAUAUACAAGGAGCCCGUACCGCAAACCGACACAGGUAGACAGGAAGAGAAUUCUAAGGCCAACGGGAGAAAGGUUGUUAAGGAACUCGGCAAGUUGACCCCGUAACUUCGGGAGAAGGGGUACUCAGAAAUGAGUCGCAGAGAAUAGGCCCAAGCGACUGUUUAGCAAAAACACAGCUCUAUGCUAAAUCGAAAGAUGACGUAUAUGGGGUGACACCUGCCCGGUGCCGGAAGGUUAAGAGGAGGAGUGAGAGCUCUGAAUUGAAGCCCCGGUAAACGGCGGCCGUAACUAUAACGGUCCUAAGGUAGCGAAAUUCCUUGUCAGGUAAGUUCUGACCCGCACGAAUGGUGUAACGAUUUGGGCACUGUCUCAACAACCUACCCGGCGAAAUUGUAGUACCGGUGAAGAUGCCGGUUACCUGCGACUAGACGGAAAGACCCCAUGGAGCUUCACUGUAGCUUAAUAUUGGAUUUCGGUAUUUCAUGUACAGGAUAGGUGGGAGACUGGGAAACACGGACGUCAGUUUGUGUGGAGUCGCUGUUGGGAUACCACUCUUGAAGUGCUGGAAUUCUAACCUGUGACCAUGAAUCUGGUCAGGGGACAAUGUUAGGUGGGCAGUUUGACUGGGGCGGUCGCCUCCUAAAAGGUAACGGAGGCGCUCAAAGGUUGGCUCAGUAUGGAUGGAAACCAUACCAGAGAGUGUAAACGCAAAAGCCAGCCUGACUGCGAGACUGACGGGUCGAGCAGGAACGAAAGUUGGAGUUAGUGAUCCGGCGGUAUGUGAGUGGAAAUGCCGUCGCUCAACGGAUAAAAGCUACCCUGGGGAUAACAGGCUGAUCUCCCCCAAGAGUCCACAUCGACGGGGAGGUUUGGCACCUCGAUGUCGGCUCAUCGCAUCCUGGGGCUGAAUUCGGUCCCAAGGGUUUGGCUGUUCGCCAAUUAAAGCGGUACGCGAGCUGGGUUCAGAACGUCGUGAGACAGUUCGGUCCCUAUCUGUCGUGGGCGAAGGAUAUUUGAAAGGAGCUGUCCCUAGUACGAGAGGACCGGGAUGGACGCACCUCUGGUGCACCAGUUGUCACGCCAGUGGCACAGCUGGGCAGCUAAGUGCGGAUCGGAUAAACGCUGAAGGCAUCUAAGCGUGAAGCCGGCCUUAAGAUAAGAUAUCCCAUCGAAAGAGUAAGACCCCUCAAAGACUAAGAGGUUGAUAGGCUUAACGUGUAAGCAUCGUGAGGUGUUAAGCGAGUGAGUACUAAUCGGUCGAGGGCUUUUCCU